UCGAACGAGCGAGAGAGAGCUUGCUUUCUUGAGCGAGUGGCGAACGGGUGAGUAACGCGUGAGGAACCUGCCUCAAAGAGGGGGACAACAGUUGGAAACGACUGCUAAUACCGCAUAAGCCCACGGCUCGGCAUCGAGCAGAGGGAAAAGGAGCAAUCCGCUUUGAGAUGGCCUCGCGUCCGAUUAGCUAGUUGGUGAGGUAACGGCCCACCAAGGCAACGAUCGGUAGCCGGACUGAGAGGUUGAACGGCCACAUUGGGACUGAGACACGGCCCAGACUCCUACGGGAGGCAGCAGUGGGGAAUAUUGCACAAUGGGGGAAACCCUGAUGCAGCGACGCCGCGUGGAGGAAGAAGGUCUUCGGAUUGUAAACUCCUGUUGUUGAGGAAGAUAAUGACGGUACUCAACAAGGAAGUGACGGCUAACUACGUGCCAGCAGCCGCGGUAAAACGUAGGUCACAAGCGUUGUCCGGAAUUACUGGGUGUAAAGGGAGCGCAGGCGGGAAGACAAGUUGGAAGUGAAAUCCAUGGGCUCAACCCAUGAACUGCUUUCAAAACUGUUUUUCUUGAGUAGUGCAGAGGUAGGCGGAAUUCCCGGUGUAGCGGUGGAAUGCGUAGAUAUCGGGAGGACACCAGUGGCGAAGGCGGCCUACUGGGCACCA
RNAcentral lists this ribosomal RNA (662 nucleotides) under uncultured Lachnospiraceae bacterium. RNAcentral describes it as "bacterial SSU rRNA". It matches the Rfam family "Bacterial small subunit ribosomal RNA", at positions 62 to 738 of the family's 1533-position model. Lineage: Bacteria; Bacillati; Bacillota; Clostridia; Lachnospirales; Lachnospiraceae. The record is from RNAcentral.